RNAcentral lists this ribosomal RNA (32 nucleotides) under Collybiopsis quercophila. Its description in RNAcentral is "Gymnopus quercophilus partial 25S ribosomal RNA". The record is from RNAcentral. Lineage: Eukaryota; Fungi; Basidiomycota; Agaricomycetes; Agaricales; Omphalotaceae.
CCCGCUGAACUUAAGCAUAUCACUNAUCGGGC